Long non-coding RNA from Telopea speciosissima, 140 nucleotides. RefSeq lists it as uncharacterized. NCBI's taxonomy places the organism in Eukaryota, Viridiplantae, Streptophyta, Magnoliopsida, Proteales, Proteaceae. The transcript is spliced from 3 exons. The record is from RefSeq and is a predicted model, not a curated record.
GAGUAUAGAAUCAAGUCUCACUAAUAUGAGUGGGAAUGUUUUGUCUUUUGGGGGAUGUGUAGACCAACAUAGGAAAACUGUCCGGUGUUUUGGAGAGUUCCCAUUAUUGUAAUCGCUUAUCGAGGAUGGGUGGCCGUUGU